RNAcentral lists this long non-coding RNA (2617 nucleotides) under Nicotiana tabacum (common tobacco). RNAcentral describes it as "long non-coding RNA (NTAB_LNC004998)". Lineage: Eukaryota; Viridiplantae; Streptophyta; Magnoliopsida; Solanales; Solanaceae. The record is from RNAcentral.
CUGAGCCUAACCUCGACGAAGUAGUGACGAGUCUACAGCAGGGCAUAAAAACAUAUACAACCUGCAACAGUUUAUACUAAACGGAAAGGAAAUACAGAAUAUACAUAAAUAUUAACUAACAUUAAAUAAAUCUGAAUCCAACUGUAGUACUACUACUUUCACCUAUAACCAUUCCUUAGGAUCUUUUCAGUAUCUCAAUAAUAGACUUUCCACAACAAUACAUGCCCAGAAAUAUAAUUGAUGCGGCGUGCAUCCCGAUCCCACCAUAAAAACAACAUUAGUAUCAAUAAUCCAACAAUAACAAUAUCAAUAUUCAACAAUAAUAGUAUCAACAUUCUCCCUUAUUCCUCCUUGUUGCGGCGCGCAACCUGUCACACCUCCUUUUACCCGAAAGGAUGUAAGGGAGUUUUUCCAAUUGAAGUGACAUAAAUCGAAAUAGGAUUAUUUAUUUAUUUUUCAGAGUCGCCUCUUGGAAUAAUUUAUGGUGUCCCAAGUCAUUGAUUUAUUUUAAAUCCCAAAUCGAGGAAAUUUGACUUUGUUUUACAGUCCGCGAACACAGAAGACCAGGUAAGGAAUUCUGUUAACCACGGAGAAGGUGUUAGGCAUUCCCGGAUUCCAUAGUUUUAGCACGGUCACUAAACUGUUAAUAAUUGGCCUAAUUAUCUGAUUUAUUGCUUGUUUUAAACCUAUUGUACAUUUUUAACUUUAUAACCACUUUUAUUUAAUUAUGGAAUUAUUUCUGGAACAAGUCACGAUUGUCAUACACUUGCCGUUUUGGAACACAUUGCAAACCACACUACAUGAAAUGCACCCGCGAUUUGCGACAUAUUUAUUUUAUUAUUAUUCAAAGUUGUUAUGAUCGGAUCACAUGAAAUGUACACCCAAAUUGAGGAUUAUGUAUUGUGACCAUGCCACGGGAACCGUACCCAUGGCCACGAUGAUUUAUUAUUAAUCGCGCCUAAAGCAAACUAUGAUGUUUGUUUUCUUUCCUAAUCUAAUUUGAGAUUAUUGAGAGGCCAUGAUUAUGGAAUACUUUUGCUAAAAGAUUUUCCAUGAUUAAUUCAUGCGCAAGCUAAUUUACAAACAGUUUAUAUCACAUCGCCGAAUUCCAAGUAAAGACAAAUGCCAUGAAAUGAAGAAUAUGUCAUUGUUAAUUGAUGAAAAAGCAUAGCUAGGAGAAAUUCAAGAUUGAGACAAAUGAAGUGAAAUAAAAGAAUCCGUCCAAUAGAAAACAAGAAAAUGUCUUUAAAUUAAAAAAAUCACAUUUAAGUUGUUUGACUAAAAUCUCCAUAUUUUCAUUAACAAACGACUAAAAUUGUCAAAAUGUCAUUCAACAUCAAAAUGGAACGGAUUUGAUAUCGGAGAGAUAGUGGGUAUCUCUAAUAUAUGGAAAGAUAAAAGACAAGAAAAACUCUAUAAACAAAGGUGCUUUAUCUUUCCAUUAAUUACUCCCUCUGUUUCAAUUUAUGUGAACCUGUUUGACUGGGCAUGGAGUUUAAGAAAAAAUGAAAACUUUUGGAAUUUCUGGUCCUAAACAAGUUAAAAAGAGACCCAAAGUAUUUGUAUGGUUAUAAAAGCUUCUCAUUAAGGGUAGAAUUGUAACUUUAAGCCAAAUUGUUUCCAAAUUUAGAAAGGUGUCAUUCUUUUUGGAACGGACUAAAAAAGAAAUAGGUUCACAUGAAUUCGAACGGAGUAAUUCAUUUGAUCCUUACAAAUUACAGGACUUUUACCUCUCAUUUACCAUAUCCAUUAACUAAAGCUAAAAAAAUAGUGAGCAAUGGAGUAAGAAUAUUCCUUAAAUAACAAAUGAAAACUCAACCAUGAACUAAUCUUUGAACAAAGCAAAACAGAUAAUCACAAAACAUGAAAGAAAAAACUCAACAAAACUUAACCAAAACAAAAAAAUCGAAGAAAACUAAUGUGUCUUACAUUGAAACUGAUUUUUUAAGCUUUUCAUAUACUAAACUGGAUGGAGCAAAAUAUUCAGCACAUGUCAUUAAAUACACUACCCAAGUAAGAAAUUAUGGAUAUAGAAAAAAUAAACCAACUAAUUAACAUAGGAUGAGAUAUUCAAAUUUCAAAUGCAUUUAUUGACUUGAAACUAGGUAAUUAUAAAAUGAAGAACAUACCUAAAUGUGACCAAAUCAACUAAGUAAAUCAAGUGAAAGUCUGAAAUUAAGUGAAAACUCAGCAGAAAUCCAAAAUCAUAGCUUCAAGAAGUUCCUCUUCUAAACCCAUAAAAUAAAACUUGAGAACUAACAGAGAAAAAGCUUCAAAUUCUAACAAUUUUCGAGUGAGUUUUUUGUUCCAUUUUUCUGCCGUGUCUGUCUUCUCUUUACUUUGUUUUUUUUUGUGUGUGUGUUUCCACAACAGAAGCUCACUUUUGGCAUAGGAAUUAGGUUAAUCGUUUUGUAGAGGAGUUUGCAGUUUCCUCUUAGAUUUUAGGAAUUUUUUAAGUUGUUAGGUCAUCUGAUUAUUGUGUGUUUAAGAGGUAAGGAAGAAGAUCAGGGUGAAACGACGCUCAGGUUCAUAAUGGGGAGAGUCCGACUUUUUUGUUGAAGAAGGGGAAAGUUGUGCUCCUUCUAGAGAGAGGGAUUGAUUUUCUUUUUUAGGUCUA